RNAcentral lists this ribosomal RNA (468 nucleotides) under uncultured bacterium. Its description in RNAcentral is "partial 16S ribosomal RNA". It matches the Rfam family "Bacterial small subunit ribosomal RNA", at positions 28 to 507 of the family's 1533-position model. The record is from RNAcentral.
GACGAACGCUGGCGGCGUGCUUAACACAUGCAAGUCGAACGGAAAGGCCCUGCUUUUUUGGGGUGCUCGACUUGCGAACGGGUGAGUAACACGUGAGUAACCUGCCCUUGACUUUGGGAUAACUUCAUGAAACUUGGGCUAAUACCGGAUAGGAGCUCCUGCUUCAUGGUGGGGGUGGGAAAGUUUCGGCGGUUGGGGAUGGACUCGCGGCUUAUCAGCUUGUUGGUGGGGUAGUGGCUUACCAAGGCUUUGACGGGUAGCCGGCCUGAGAGGGUGACCGGCCAAAUUGGGACGGAGAUACGGCACAGACUACUACGGGACGCAGCAGUGGGGAAUAUUGCACAAUGGGCGGAAGCCUGAUGCAGCAACGCCGCGUGCGGGAUGACGGCAUUCGGGUUGUAAACCGCUUUCGCCUGUGACGAAGCGUGAGUGACGGUAAUGGGUAAAGAAGCACCGGCUAACUACGUG